UCAAGGAAAAAGGUUCAGGCGAGAUUGUCUUCAAGGCAAUGGGAAGAGCUAUAAACAAAACAGUGAUGAUUGUGGAGCUAAUUAAGCUAAUAUUUUUUGACAUAUAUCUUAAUGAUCAUUUUGAUCCCUGAGAAGUUGGAAACUUUUGUCUUGAGUCCUUCCCCACUUCCUUGUAUUUUCUGUGCAAAGUUAUGCCCGUUGCAAAAUGACCAUUGUACAUAAAUAUGUUGAUGGUGCAGAGAAGGAUUGUGGGUCUUCAUCAAAUUACUGCUAUUGGUGUAGAGAAGGAUUGUGCAAAGAAGGAUUGUGGGCAUAUGAGAAAGUGGUUAUGGUUGUGGUAAGGGGCAUGUCCGAACCGUAUCCGAACCGAAUGCACCCCUAGACACAGGUCAUGGAUAGAAAAAUGAAAUUCAACCGGCUUCAAUAAACUCUGAUCUACUUUCUCGAGAAUCAGAGAGCAUCUCUCUUCUUCUGAGUUUGCUUGCUGAGGAUGAUUUCUAUGUUAGAUACCAUACACUUCAGCUUCUUACAGCUCUUCUUACACAUUCCCCUAGCAGGUUACAAGAAGCGAUUCUUUCUAUUCCUCAUGGUAUUUAUGGAUAUGCUUAUGGAUCGUGAGGUUUGCAUUUG
Asparagus officinalis (garden asparagus) is the source of this 630-nucleotide long non-coding RNA. RefSeq lists it as uncharacterized. The transcript is spliced from 4 exons. Lineage: Eukaryota; Viridiplantae; Streptophyta; Magnoliopsida; Asparagales; Asparagaceae. The record is from RefSeq and is a predicted model, not a curated record.